Molecule: long non-coding RNA, 1494 nt
Organism: Hemicordylus capensis (graceful crag lizard)
Lineage: Eukaryota; Metazoa; Chordata; Lepidosauria; Squamata; Cordylidae
Exons: 4
Source: RefSeq, a predicted model, not a curated record
CCAACUGCCUUCUCUCAACUGACUCAACUGCUCAGAAAUUUCUGGUGGGAGCAAAAGGGGUUGAUUUCUGCCAUUCCUGGAGCCGUUCCCAUCACUGAGUGAGAGAGAGGAGCUGGGAGAGGAGCUGCUUCCUUCUCGCCUCUGCUUUCCUCUGCCGGGAUUAGCAGAAAGGUUGAUCUCCAGAUGAUGCAGUUAAGGGCUUCAAGGACACCAGCAGGCCUUUCUCUCCUGGGCGCCUUCAGCAUCGUGCCAGGUGCAGGAUAAAGAUCAUGAUGGAGGGCCUGGUCUCCACUUGGCCUAGCAGCCUUCCCUGAGCUGGGCCUGUGCCAAAGUAAAAGUGCCCAGGAGAAGGAGUGGGAAUCGGAAAAGAAUGAAGGCAAAGCAAGCAAUGGAGGAUCCUGAUAGCUGUGUCUCCUGAUCCAUACUACAGUCCUGUAAGUGUUGAAGAACCUCUUGAAUUUGUCUUCCCAGAAGAUGGAGAGGUAAGUCUGACUCCUACCACCUCCAGAGGCCAGACUGUCAGAGAGCUACAUAGGAAAAGACAGCAGUCCACAGAUAUCAAAGCAAAGAAGAGCUUCCCUUUCAACAUCUAAGAAAGGAUCCCAUCCUGCUUCUGAUGCACUGUUAUCAACGCGAGUGCUGAGGGUUGCCUCGGCCGGGUAAAUAUGCAUUGACACAAUGACAAAUCUCUCCGGUGGCUGAGCGGAAUGGUGGGCCCUAGAGAAGGCAGGAAGAGGCUGAGGAGAGCAACCCCACAACAGAUGCCCAUUCCCUUUUUGACUAGGUUUGCAAAAGCCUCGUGUACACUCAAGGUCAUGAGGCUUUUGCAAAGAGGGGGCAUAGUUUCCCGGGAAACGACUUCACCCCAGGAGUGGAAUCCACACCUUAGUUUACAGAGCUCCCUUCAAACUAGUUACUGAAGUUGCAGCCCAGGUUUGCACCCGUUCCCUCUGUCCCAUCUCUUGAUUCCGAGUCUGGGUCCCCAACCCCCCUCCCUUCCCCUGGCUCUGCAUCCAGUGCGGGGUGCAAAUGUCACGUCCAGUCCUGGCAGGGUGCAAGAAACAAGGCUGGACCCCACAGUGAACCAUUCUGUAAGGCCAAGCAGGGGGGCAGAGGGUGCGCUAGUGAAAGCGAUCCCCGCCCUCUCUUGGCCUUCUGCAGGGACACCUCGGCAUCCACUCACCCCCCUCAAGUGACAGUGUGGGAUUAGCCGGUCGCCAUUUGGGGCCGAGUAGGAAUUUUCCCCAUCCACCCAGAUUGGCCUGGAGGUGGCUGGUUUUUUGCCUACUCUGCACUGUUGCACUGGAAGGGAUUUCUGAUCUGGCGGAUGUUAGGAGUGGUGCCGCUAAAUAGUGUAGCCCCUUGGUCACCAUGGCAGGUCCGAGGAGGGGAUGUAGUGCCCCACCCCAUUGGUGGCAGGUGCGAUUUCCCCCAGCUACACUCUAGUUCUCUGCUAAAAUGAGUCAAUAAAGUGAUGGCCCUAGUUUCAACCCA